This 466-nucleotide ribosomal RNA is filed under the name uncultured bacterium. RNAcentral's name for it is "partial 16S ribosomal RNA". It matches the Rfam family "Bacterial small subunit ribosomal RNA", at positions 28 to 507 of the family's 1533-position model. The record is from RNAcentral.
GAUGAACGCUGGCGGCGUGCUUAACACAUGCAAGUCGAACGGAAAGGCUCCUGCUUGCAGGGGUACUCGAGUGGCGAACGGGUGAGUAACACGUGGGUGAUCUGCCCUGCACUUCGGGAUAAGCCUGGGAAACUGGGUCUAAUACCGGAUAGGACGAUGGUUUGGAUGCCAUUGUGGAAAGUUUUUCGGUGUGGGAUGAGCUCGCGGCCUAUCAGCUUGUUGGUGGGGUAAUGGCAUACCAAGGCGUCGACGGGUAGCCGGCCUGAGAGGGUGUACGGCCACAUUGGGACUGAGAUACGGCCCAGACUCCUACGGGAGGCAGCAGUGGGGAAUAUUGCACAAUGGGCGCAAGCCUGAUGCAGCGACGCCGCGUGGGGGAUGACGGCCUUCGGGUUGUAAACUCCUUUCGCUAGGGACGAAGCGUUUUGUGACGGUACCUGGAGAAGAAGCACCGGCUAACUACGUG